RNAcentral lists this ribosomal RNA (388 nucleotides) under Gephyrocapsa sp. RNAcentral's name for it is "partial small subunit ribosomal RNA". It matches the Rfam family "Eukaryotic small subunit ribosomal RNA", at positions 582 to 975 of the family's 1831-position model. The record is from RNAcentral. Lineage: Eukaryota; Haptophyta; Isochrysidales; Noelaerhabdaceae.
AUUCCAGCUCCAAUAGCGUAUAUUAAAGUUGUUGCAGUUAAAACGCUCGUAGUCGGAUUUCGGGGCGGGCCGACCGGUCUGCCGAUGGGUAUGCACUGGCCGGCGCGUCCUUCCACCCGGAGACCGCGCCUACUCUUAACUGAGCGGGCGCGGGAGACGGGUCUUUUACUUUGAAAAAAUCAGAGUGUUUCAAGCAGGCAGUCGCUCUUGCAUGGAUUAGCAUGGGAUAAUGAAAUAGGACUCUGGUGCUAUUUUGUUGGUUUCGAACACCGGAGUAAUGAUUAACAGGGACAGUCAGGGGCACUCGUAUUCCGCCGAGAGAGGUGAAAUUCUCGGAUUUGCAAAAGACUAACUUAUGCGAAAGCAUUUGCCAAGGAUGUUUUCAUUG